Suricata suricatta (meerkat) is the source of this 246-nucleotide long non-coding RNA. RefSeq lists it as uncharacterized. The transcript has 2 exons. The record is from RefSeq and is a predicted model, not a curated record. NCBI's taxonomy places the organism in Eukaryota, Metazoa, Chordata, Mammalia, Carnivora, Herpestidae.
CUACUUCAUGACCCAACAAGUAGAUGUGAAAUUAUCUGGCCCUGGUUACCAGGGUUAAGGGCCUGCUCUCUGCAGUCAGACCUGGGUUCAAGUCGCAGCUCCUCCUCUUCCUCGCAAGUCUCUUAAUUUCUCUGCACCUCAGGAGUUUUCAGUCUGUAAGGGGGAUGACAGAUACACCUGCGUGUGGGGCUGUGUGAGGACUCUGUGACGGGUCGAAUUGAAGACCACUCAGCUCAGUGCCUGGAA